AGAGUUUGAUCCUGGCUCAGAUUGAACGCUGGCGGCAGGCCUAACACAUGCAAGUCGAGCGCGAAAGUUUUCGGAUGAGUAGAGCGGCGAACGGGUGAGUAACGCGUGGGAAUCUGCCUGGUAAUGGGGGACAACAUCUCGAAAGGGAUGCUAAUACCGCAUACGCCCUAAGGGGGAAAGUGGGGGAUCUUCGGACCUCACGUUAUCAGAGGAGCCCGCGUCGGAUUAGCUAGUAGGUAGGGUAAAGGCCUACCUAGGCGACGAUCCGUAACUGGUCUGAGAGGAUGAUCAGUCACACUGGAACUGAGACACGGUCCAGACUCCUACGGGAGGCAGCAGUGGGGAAUAUUGGACAAUGGGGGCAACCCUGAUCCAGCCAUGCCGCGUGUGUGAAGAAGGCCUUCGGGUUGUAAAGCACUUUAAGUUGGGAGGAAGGCUUCACGGAUAAUACCUGUGAGGAUUGACGUUACCAACAGAAUAAGCACCGGCUAACUCCGUGCCAGCAGCCGCGGUAAUACGGAGGGUGCAAGCGUUAAUCGGAAUUACUGGGCGUAAAGCGCGCGUAGGCGGCCAUUUAAGCUAGAUGUGAAAGCCCUGGGCUUAACCUGGGAACUGCAUUUAGAACUGGAUGGCUAGAGUAUGGAAGAGGAGUGUGGAAUUUCCGGUGUAGCGGUGAAAUGCGUAGAGAUCGGAAGGAACAUCAGUGGCGAAAGCGACACUCUGGUCCAAUACUGACGCUGAGGUGCGAAAGCGUGGGGAUCAAACAGGAUUAGAUACCCUGGUAGUCCACGCCGUAAACGAUGUCGACUAGCCGUUGGCCUCCUUGAGGGGUUAGUGGCGCAGCUAACGCGAUAAGUCGACCGCCUGGGAGUACGGCGCAAGGUUAAAACUCAAAUGAAUUGACGGGGCCCGCACAAGCGGUGGGAGCAUGUGGUUUAAUUCGACGCAACGCGAAGAACC
Molecule: ribosomal RNA, 960 nt
Filed under: uncultured bacterium
Lineage: Bacteria
Description: bacterial SSU rRNA
Rfam family: Bacterial small subunit ribosomal RNA
Source: RNAcentral